RNAcentral lists this ribosomal RNA (636 nucleotides) under uncultured fungus. RNAcentral describes it as "eukaryotic LSU rRNA". The stretch from base 259 to 412 matches the Rfam family "5.8S ribosomal RNA". The record is from RNAcentral. Lineage: Eukaryota; Fungi.
UCUUGGUCAUUUAGAGGAAGUAAAAGUCGUAACAAGGUUUCCGUAGGUGAACCUGCGGAAGGAUCAUUAAAAGAAAUUUGUUAUACAUUUCAUGUAUCAACUGUUUAAACCCAUUCUGUGUACCUUGCCUGUUGCUUCCAUGGAGCCUGACUUUGGUCACUCUUGUGAUGUAAAUCCCAAGGGAGUCCCCAUGGAAGGUCAUCAAUAAAACUCAUGUAUCCAAUUUCUUCUGUCUGAACUGUUUAUAACAAAUGUUAAAACUUUCAACAACGGAUCUCUUGGUUCUCGCAUCGAUGAAGAACGCAGCGAAAUGCGAUAAGUAGUGUGAAUUGCAGAAUUCAGUGAAUCAUCGAAUCUUUGAACGCACAUUGCGCCUCCUGGUAUUCCGGGAGGCAUGCCUGUUCGAGCGUCAUUAAAUACCUCUCAAGCACCAUUGCUUGGUCAUGGAAGAUGAGUAUGCUUGCAUUCUCCCUUCUGAAAUUCAAAGGCGGAUCAUCUCAUAUUCCCUGGCGUAGUAAGUGUUUAUCUUUCGCUUGGAGUGUGUGACAGUCUUGCCAUCGACCCCCAUUAUUUCAAGGUUGACCUCGGAUCAGGUAGGGAUACCCGCUGAACUUAAGCAUAUCAAUAAGCGGAGGA